Molecule: long non-coding RNA, 1159 nt
Organism: Numida meleagris (helmeted guineafowl)
Lineage: Eukaryota; Metazoa; Chordata; Aves; Galliformes; Numididae
Exons: 4
Source: RefSeq, a predicted model, not a curated record
UGUAUUAUUCAUAAAAGAAGAAGAAAACUCUGUUAGAAAACUUCAAAUCCAACCAGUAAAAUGGAGUGUAGUAUGAAGGAAAAUGUGGAAAAUACAAAUCAAAAGAUAAGGAAUGUAGAUCACUGAAGAGGGAAGCUAAAGAUUUCUGUUCAGUGAGGUGGAUCACUGUCAUGUUUACGGUGGUAUUUGAGUUGUCUGUAAAGCUGAAUGGGGAUAACCAUUGUUGUGGGACAUUGUUUGCCUGUGAAACAUCUGGGGGUGUCCAGCUGCUUUGGCGAUGGAGAACUCUGAAGCUGCAGUUCGUAGACAGCGUUAGGAGAGCAAUGCACUGGAUUAGGUACCAUGUUGGAACAAGCGCAAAAUGAAUGUUCAAACACACAGCUUUUCUUACCAUGAAUAUGCAUGAAGUUUAGGCUUUGGAGGUGAAGAGCUCAGCUAAUUCAACAAAGUCAGCUUGGAAAUUCCAUUGUGAGUUGUUACUCUUGCAAUUUGCUAUUUGUUUUCAGCUGAAAAAAUCAAACAGUGCAAUGUCAUCUGUUCAGAAGGCCAAAAAUGUACUUUGCUUAAUGCAAGAACAUGCAGUAAACUGUUGUGAGUGGUCCUCCACAAAGACUUACUCAAUAAGAAAACAACCAACUAUUUGAAAGGAGUGGACAAACAGAAUUUUAUGAUCUGCUCAGACAAGACACAAAAAACCCACCAGGCAACAUUUUCCCAAGAGUUUUCUCAUGGAAAUUAUUUGUUUCAUUUCAGUUCUUAACAAGCAUGAGCAGCUGAUCAUCACCUCCUCUACUGCAAAGGAGUGAUCUCCAAGAUUUUUCCUACCAACAUUACUAGCAAAUGAAUUAAUUCAGUUUGGACAGUUCUCCCUUAGUUAUUUAACUGACCCUCAGAACCAGAAGGACGCUUUGAGUAAAUGGAGAGAAAAACAUUAAAAAUUAUAUACCUUGGGUUGACUUUGAUCUUUAAAAAUGAGGUGGAAUUUAUUUUAGGUAUAUAAUAAUAUUGCUAACCUCUGUUCACUAGGCAAUCCUUCCUUUUCCCUCAGCUCUCAGUUUGACAUAUCUCCAGCAUGAAAUGGACUAAGAUUGCCAUGAAACUGGAAGCUGUGAGUGUGAAAAUUGGGGAAUGCGUAGACAAAUUCUUCUUUCCUUUUUAA